This 255-nucleotide ribosomal RNA is filed under the name uncultured bacterium. RNAcentral describes it as "partial 16S ribosomal RNA". It matches the Rfam family "Bacterial small subunit ribosomal RNA", at positions 526 to 779 of the family's 1533-position model. The record is from RNAcentral.
CGUAUGGGGCAAGCGUUAUCCGGAUUUACUGGGUGUAAAGGGAGCGUAGGCGGCAGUACAAGUCGGGAGUGAAAACUCGGGGCUCAACCCCGAGACUGCUCUCGAAACUGUACAGCUAGAGUGCAGGAAGGGCAGGCGGAAUUCCUGGUGUAGCGGUGAAAUGCGUAGAUAUCAGGAGGAACACCGGUGGCGAAGGCGGCCUGCUGGACUGUAACUGACGCUGAGGCUCGAAAGCGUGGGGGAGCGAACAGGAUU